GUGUCUGUGUGUCUGUGUAUGUAUCAGAAUGGAACCACAAAGCCUGGACCCUCUAAAUGCAAAGAAACCUUAGGUGGGGAUUAUGGAAAACCAUGCUGGUGCUUGGUCCCUUCCUCCUCAGUGGAGCUCAGUGUAGGCCAGGCAGUCUUAAAUACUUUUCCUCUAUCCUCUACCAAGUCCCACUCACCUGGAGGACAAAAACCUCCCAGGCAAAGCCCACAGGGAUCUUUUGCCUUUGUUCCUCCUCACCUAGGCACUCCUGGGCACAUGGCACAAGCCUGUAUGCUCCUUCCCAUCCUAGACCAUGAAGUCACAGUUGGGGUCUCUCCUUGUUGGAAUUCUCUCUGUGGCUCUGCGGCCCUGAAGAGAGUGACGAGGUGUGCAGACUUGAGGUGAGUGACACUUAUAGUGCCUUCUGAGUUGGAGGAAGAUGAUUAUUCAAAACAGCAUAGGACUAUCCACGCUGAUCAUGAAUACAUUGAGCUAUGAGUGGUCCAGGUUGCCAUAGUAACUCCCACAGGUGGGCUGGCUUUGACCAACUGAAAUUUACUGGUUGACAAUGGAGAGAUUACUUGCUUAUCCUAAACACUUUCAUUUUCUUCUGGCGUUUGUACACAGUCCUCCUUCUGGGUAUCUAUAACCUAAUUCUCCCUUCUCAUGAUGACGACAGGCUGAUUGAAUGGGAGGCCACCCUACCUCUCGCCACCUCAGUCACCUCUGAAUACCAUCUCAUCCAAAAAAGCACUGCACAUUAGGCCGUCAAUAUACAAAUUUGGACGGAGACAUAAUUUUAGUCCCUAAUAGUCACACGGUAAGUACCUAACAACUUUAGACCCUCCCCUUUUCUCUAGACCCUCCCUCGUCACACACACCCCUCACUAGCUAGAAUGAAGCUUGAGGGGAAGACCUAGAAAAUCAGUUGCUUCUAGGUCAGUGUUCUGGAGGAAGCUUUUGAAGGGAGCAACUGGUAAGCUGUCUCCCUGGUUCAUGGGGGCCCCCAAGUACCUUGCAGUGUGUAUGCGGAUUGGCUACUCUGCCUUGUGGCUGUGACCCCAGCCUUCAGGUAAGAAUCCUCCAUAUAGGAUUCCCAUCCCCACCACGGCAGCUGAUGCCACUUAUGCUUCGGUUCUGGGGAGUGGGGGAGACCCCACUCCUUCCAGGCCUGCCCCGGGCACUUGUGAUCUCAUAAGACAGAAGAGGCCACAGGCAGGCCUCAAUGGAGAUGGGCUUAAGGCACCAGCAACCAGAGGCUGCCAGAGGCCUCCUGCAGCCAUUUCACGACUGCCUUCAUCCUUGUCACUAAUGAGCCUUCGAUUCCAGGAAACUCUGAAAGGAAGAAGGGACACCUGCAUCCUGUUGGGAGAGAGCCCUGACGUAGUGAAAAAGCACAAUGAGACAGAGCUAGGAGUGGCACAGGCCAGAUGAGGGUCACGAGGGCUCAGGAGAAGAUGGUGACCCAGCUGAGUCUGGAAUGGGGAGGAUACUACAGCUGAAUGCAAGCCGGAGGCCCAGAAACAGGACACACACGGUACAGGGGCCAAUUUCCAUGUAACCAGGUGAGCCACAGCCUGAGCAGAAGACCAAGUCCUCUUAAGCGGAGGCCGGGGCUUUGAACACACCUGAGAGGGUGCUCAAAGCCUGUCUGCCACCAGGCAUCUCUACAGACAGACCCCGAGUGGGAGAGGCCAGUCUGUUCUCUCUCGGCCCCUACACCUCUGCUGUGUCUGAACUAAACCCUGCCCUGCAGCUUGGCAGCCCCAAACACUCUGCCCACUGUCAGCAUUACUGCUUUCCAGGAAUCUCCUGUUUUUCAAACUAUUUUUGCCAAGAUGUGUUUUUUUUGCAAACUCCUGGGCCCACCUCCCUUCCCCUCAGUUGAACUGAUGAAACCAUUCAUCUUCCAGCCCCAAGCAGACUCCCUGACACCCCACCCUCACUCCAACUCACUCCAGGUUCUGGCCAAGAACCAGAAGUCCUAGAUGUGGAAGGCAGGCCUGUUUGUCUCCACCAGAGCUGGCGGCACCGAGGGGCUGUGGUCUGCUCGCCCCCUGGCAGUGCACACACUGGCAGACACUCCCCAGGGUACACACUUGUACUGCAAGCUACGUGUUCUGGCAAGAAACAGCAAAGACUCAUUUCCGUCUAUAUUUUGACAGAGAUUAAGGGCAAAGGCCUUUUCUAAAUCAUUCUCCAAAGAGCCAUACUUCAGACUCGUUCUGCAGCUCAGUGUCUCCCGCCCCACAGAAGCCCAUCAAUACUCAUCAAUACGGUAGAUAUUUGUUCAAAUUCCAUAGUGAGUGCAGGUUGGCGAUGGAGGAAGGGCUUCAGGCUUGAUCAUGCCUGGUGCCUGGCUAUUGUUUUAACUCAACUGUGCAAGAAAACCAUGGUGUUUACCAGCCCACAGCCAUCCUUCAGCAGACCCCACAGACACCUAAGGAUGGAAGAUAUAUUGAGUUAUGGAGUAUGAAAUAUUAUCAGAGUUUGGUGUCUAUUAAUGUCUUAAGGAGAAUUCCAUCCUAUGGGAAAAUCUAAAAAUCCCAUAGCAAGUACAUAGAUCCCACUCACUUUCCUUCUCCCUGUCCCCAGAUACCUCCUGGUUUAGUUACCCAAGAGCAGCCACGGUUGUCUCUGCUGCCUCGAGCUAUCACAAAGGUACCACUCCGGGACACGGGUUGAAGACACACAGCCUUUUAACAUGACAUUUAACUGAGAGUUGGUGCCAAAGAGUCCUUGUGAGGAAGAGUCUCACUGUAUUCGGGGCAGCUAGAGUCAACCCACGCGCCUCCCUCUGGGGCUCAAAGGACUUGGGUUGUGGGACCUGCAGGCACCACCGUCAUCACCGACAGUCUCUUAUCUUAAAAUCCGAGCCCAUCACAAAUGGUGGGAACUCGGAGUGGAGGAAGGAGUGCGAGCUGCCAGAGUGGAGAGCAAUGAAGAUCUCCCCCAGGGACAGGAGCGCCCUUGGCCUGUGCCAUUGGCAAGGAGAAUGUGCCUGGUAAGAGGCAAAGAGAGUGGCGCGGUGGGGCUUUGCCGUCCUACUCCCCCGCUGCCCUCUCUCUCUCUUCGUUUCUCAACACAGUGACUUAAAGAUCCACAGUGUGCGCGCAGUCUGCGGUCCUGGCAACGUGGUAGGCCCUGGGAGCGUGAUGAGGAAGAGGACACACACAACCACCUUGCUCACGUAGUUUCUGUGUUAGAUACCUUCAGCUUUUCUAAAGCACAGCCUCCCAGAGGACAGCUUGGAUUCUAACAGUCUCUUAAGGACGGCUCAGUCUCCAUUCCAAUAUGACAGACAAGUGUGUGAAGGGAAGGUGGAUGAUGGCUGCCAUGAAUUAGAAGAAGACAUCUUUGACCUCACCACUCAAGAACUCCCCAGCCAUAUUCUUUAAGUUGAUUUCUCCUUGCCUCAUCACCAAGGUUCAUAGCAUUGAGCUGGAACUAAUGAUGGAUAAAGAGGAGGCUACUUCUGUGUGGCCAGGGUAGUGCUGGGGUAGCCUGUGAGAGGUCUGUUCAAGAGACUUACAUUUUCUCAAAUUCUUUCAAAUUACCAAUAACCACCCUGUGCCCCAACCAUCAACUCUGGGUGGUUAUUAGCAUUGGUUCUGGUCUCUAACCUCUCCCUUUACUGUUAACCCAGUGCUAAGCCCUCCACACCAUUGAGGAAAUGACCCAGAGGCAAGAGUAGGACCUAGUCCAGACUACAGCUCCACAGGGAACUGUGUCAAGCCAAAGCUCCUGGGACAACUGGGAAACCUUUGCCUGUCGGUCCCUUAAUGCCCAGCUAAGUGGUCAGAUGACAGACAGGCAAGGAUUCCACUAACAGUGAUGCUGCGGGCUUCUGUCGAAAUCAAACUGUUGUUCACUGUUUGAAGUUCCUCUACAUUGUAUGAAGCAAUAGUUUUUCAAGUUGCAUCUUGUCCUGAAGGACUCCAUUUUACAAAUGAAGGACCACAGGGACUCUGAACUUCACUGUCUAGCACCAACCACAAGGCACAGACUGAUUAAUGACAUAUUCUCAAAAGUGAACACAUUAUCACUCUACAAAUGUAUCAGAGCAUCUUGAGACCAUAUGAGCCCAUGGACAUACAAAAAUCACAGUAAGAAUACCAGGCCUGAGAGCUAAUCGAACACACCAGAAGAAGAACAACAGUUCCCACCAACCCCUGUUAGGCUUCACACUACUGCUGCUAAGUUCAUCUUGAACUGCCUCCCAUCUGUCCACCUGAUGGUUCAUCUAGACCCAGUCCAUCCCUUUGUCUCUACGGCCUCCACAAUCACACUCUUCACAUGGGCAGCUCAGGCUGACCUCAGACGCAACUUAGCUCUGACACACCCUGUAGAUCUGUAAGAGGUUAAUUACAUGAUUCCAACAGAGGCUUGCUUUGCUUCUGUGCUUCCCCCCACCCCCCUACCCUCGCUUUGGCCUUUCAGUAAAGUCACCUCCUUGAGCUAUAUUUCUUUAACUAUUUUCAACUAUUUUGUGACCUACAGAAGGAGAGAGAGAGAGAGAGAGAGAGAGAGAGAGAGAAAGAGACAGAGAC
This 4541-nucleotide small RNA is filed under the name Rattus norvegicus (Norway rat). RNAcentral describes it as "uncharacterized LOC102548079". Lineage: Eukaryota; Metazoa; Chordata; Mammalia; Rodentia; Muridae. The record is from RNAcentral.